GAAAACGGAUUAAAGUUGAUUAAUUAAGUUUAUUAAUUUUUUUCUCUUUUAAUUUGUAUGUUCUCUAAAUUGAUUUUUGGAUCUGAUAUGAUAUUAUAGGAAGAGUAGAGAUGAAUAAUAGGAAAAUUAAUUCUUUUUUCAAAAGGAAAGCAUGUGAAAUUGAAAGAGAAGAGAGAGAAGAAAAAAUUAUAAUCCCGGCAUCCGAAUCUGAAACAGUUCUUGAGAAUCCAAUAAUUGAAGAGCAUCAUGGUUUUGAAAAUUCUUUGGAACGCGAUCCUGGAAAGCGUCCUCCGAUUUGGCAAUAUCCACCAAAUCAAGUGGAUG
Molecule: long non-coding RNA, 324 nt
Filed under: Lathyrus oleraceus (garden pea)
Lineage: Eukaryota; Viridiplantae; Streptophyta; Magnoliopsida; Fabales; Fabaceae
Description: Pisum sativum (pea) long non-coding RNA (PSAT_LNC004965)
Source: RNAcentral